RNAcentral lists this ribosomal RNA (303 nucleotides) under uncultured bacterium. RNAcentral describes it as "partial 16S ribosomal RNA". It matches the Rfam family "Bacterial small subunit ribosomal RNA", at positions 507 to 808 of the family's 1533-position model. The record is from RNAcentral.
AGCAGUAGCCGCGGUAAAACGUAGGUGGCAAGCGUUGUCCGGAAUUAUUGGGCGUAAAGCGUGCGCAGGUGGUCUAAUAAGUCUGAAGUUAAAGGCUGUGGCUUAACCAUAGUAUGCUUUGGAAACUGUUUAACUUGAGUGCAGGAGGGGAGAGUGGAAUUCCAUGUGUAGCGGUGAAAUGCGUAGAUAUAUGGAGGAACACCGGUGGCGAAAGCGGUUCUCUGGUCUGUAACUGACGCUGAGGCUCGAAAGCGUGGGGAGCAAACAGGAUUAGAUACCCCGGUAGUCCCUGUCUCUUAUACA